AUAAAAAGCCACAGAGCCCCCUGGAGAUGAUGGCCUAAUUGGACUCGAUGACCAGGGCUUCCUGCAAAGCUGUCUGCUGCCUGAGGAGUUCAGUGACUCUCUCAGAGUCCCAUGGAGCAAAAGAGGCCACCUACCUCCCACAUUCCUGGACCCUCCGGCGGGCUGGUGGAGUCAAGACGGAGAAAUGACAGCGCUGGUGACUGGAACCGCGAUGGAGCAACGAGCCCUGGACGUGGGCAGAAGUCCUUACGUGGCUGGGGACUCGGAAGACUGUCCAGGGCUCGGGCUUUCAGAUGCCAAAGUGAGGGAGGCAGAAGCUCUGAGAGACAAAGGAGCCUGGGAGGAGCAGCCAUGGACCACUGGGAGCUGCUUGAACCUAGCAUUUCACAUCUGGGACAGGUCAUCCAACAUCCAACCAUCACGCUACCUCAGUAACAGACUGUGUCUGGCUUGAUAUUACAUAAAGGUUAGAAGGGAUGGGGGAUGAGUCCAUCUGUAAAAAUCUCAAAUCAAAAUUGGAAGUGUAUUUUUUCAAAUCUAAAGUAGGCAAAGUGACUUACGGGGGCCCCCACCAGCUCUUAUAUUCUCAACAUCAUGAGGGCUGGCUGGGAAGACUCACCUGAAUGAUUGAUCUGGGAGGCAGACUCAUCUCCUGGAAUCUGGGUCCCGAUGGCAG
Molecule: long non-coding RNA, 676 nt
Filed under: Cricetulus griseus (Chinese hamster)
Lineage: Eukaryota; Metazoa; Chordata; Mammalia; Rodentia; Cricetidae
Description: lncRNA (ENSCGRG00015030381.1)
Source: RNAcentral